This 537-nucleotide ribosomal RNA is filed under the name Triticum aestivum (bread wheat). RNAcentral describes it as "partial small subunit ribosomal RNA". The record is from RNAcentral. Lineage: Eukaryota; Viridiplantae; Streptophyta; Magnoliopsida; Poales; Poaceae.
AUGCUUCGGUCCAUGUUUGGACUGGCAUUUCACUCCACAUUUGCAGAAAUUCAGACAACCAUAGAAAGCUUGCAAAUUAGCAAAUGUUUGGCGUGUAGGAGAGCGGUGCUAACUCUCUCCUAUUGCGAUUUGCGAACCCUCUGCUCCAUGGCGACGACAGGGCGAAGCUUCUAUCCCCGUGGUAGUCUUGGUAGCUGCAGUUCCAAGCUAACGAUCUACUCCAAGACCUAUGUUGACAAUGACCUUGCCCCGAUGCCCUGCCAACCUAACCUUCCUCGGUGGAAGGAAGCCUUGUGCGGUACCCUCCACCAGCCAUCCGUCGUGCUGGUUGGUGCCUUCCAGGCAUCCGCAACGCCUAUGCCUAGCCAAGUGCGUAGCGAACCGAGAACAGACGGCCUGGAAUCGUAUUGCUGUCAAAAGCAAAAGCGAAUGAUUGUUCAUCGGAACUGUUAUGGUCCGACUACUCAUAAGGUUGGGUCUGCAAACAUUGUGUGGCACCUCGACCCACCAAAUCUUGCGUUCAACCCAUGGCUCUGA